GGGGUGCUCGAGUGGCGAACGGGUGAGUAACACGUGAGUAACCUGCCCUUGACUUUGGGAUAACUUCAGGAAACUGGGGCUAAUACCGGAUAGGAGCUCCUGCUGCAUGGUGGGGGUUGGAAAGUUUCGGCGGUUGGGGAUGGACUCGCGGCUUAUCAGCUUAUUGGUGGGGUAGUGGCUUACCAAGGCUUUGACGGGUAGCCGGCCUGAGAGGGUGACCGGCCACAUUGGGACUGAGAUACGGCCCAG
This 249-nucleotide ribosomal RNA is filed under the name uncultured Actinomycetales bacterium. RNAcentral describes it as "partial 16S ribosomal RNA". It matches the Rfam family "Bacterial small subunit ribosomal RNA", at positions 84 to 334 of the family's 1533-position model. Lineage: Bacteria; Bacillati; Actinomycetota; Actinomycetes; Actinomycetales. The record is from RNAcentral.